Molecule: ribosomal RNA, 535 nt
Filed under: Yersinia enterocolitica
Lineage: Bacteria; Pseudomonadati; Pseudomonadota; Gammaproteobacteria; Enterobacterales; Yersiniaceae
Description: partial 23S ribosomal RNA
Rfam family: Bacterial large subunit ribosomal RNA
Source: RNAcentral
UGAAAUCGUACCCCAAACCGACACAGGUGGUCAGGUAGAGAAUACUCAGGCGCUUGAGAGAACUCGGGUGAAGGAACUAGGCAAAAUGGUGCCGUAACUUCGGGAGAAGGCACGCUGGCAUUAGGUAAAGGGACUUGCUCCCGGCGCCGAAGCCAGUCGCAGAUACCAGCUGGCUGCAACUGUUUAAUAAAAACACAGCACUGUGCAAACACGAAAGUGGACGUAUACGGUGUGACGCCUGCCCGGUGCUGGAAGGUUAAUUGAUGGGGUCAGCCGCAAGGCGAAGCUCUUGAUCGAAGCCCCAGUAAACGGCGGCCGUAACUAUAACGGUCCUAAGGUAGCGAAAUUCCUUGUCGGGUAAGUUCCGACCUGCACGAAUGGCGUAAUGAUGGCCAGGCUGUCUCCACCCGAGACUCAGUGAAAUUGAACUCGCUGUGAAGAUGCAGUGUACCCGCGGCAAGACGGAAAGACCCCGUGAACCUUUACUAUAGCUUGACACUGAACAUUGAGCCUUGAUGUGUAGGAUAGGUGGGAG